AACGCGAAGAACCUUACCAGCCCUUGACAUGCCUCGGACAGUUACCAGAGAUGGUUUCCUCUCUUCGGAGCCGGGAGCACAGGUGCUGCAUGGCUGUCGUCAGCUCGUGUCGUGAGAUGUUGGGUUAAGUCCCGCAACGAGCGCAACCCUCGCCCUUAGUUGCCAUCAUUAAGUUGGGCUCUCUAAGGGGACUGCCGGUGAUAAGCCGCGAGGAAGGUGGGGAUGACGUCAAGUCCUCAUGGCCCUUACGGGCUGGGCUACACACGUGCUACAAUGGCGGUGACAGUGGGACGCAAUGGGGUAACCCUGCGCAAAUCUCAAAAAGCCGUCUCAGUUCGGAUUGUGCUCUGCAACUCGAGCACAUGAAGUUGGAAUCGCUAGUAAUCGCAGAUCAGCACGCUGCGGUGAAUACGUUCCCGGGCCUUGUACACACCGCAUAC
This 440-nucleotide ribosomal RNA is filed under the name uncultured bacterium. Its description in RNAcentral is "bacterial SSU rRNA". It matches the Rfam family "Bacterial small subunit ribosomal RNA", at positions 958 to 1397 of the family's 1533-position model. The record is from RNAcentral.